Molecule: ribosomal RNA, 419 nt
Filed under: Lepidium ruderale
Lineage: Eukaryota; Viridiplantae; Streptophyta; Magnoliopsida; Brassicales; Brassicaceae
Description: eukaryotic LSU rRNA
Rfam family: Eukaryotic large subunit ribosomal RNA (bases 279-419)
Source: RNAcentral
UGCAGAAUCCCGUGAACCAUCGAGUCUUUGAACGCAAGUUGCGCCCCAAGCCUUCUGGCCGAGGGCACGUCUGCCUGGGCGUCACAAAUCGUCGUCCCCCUCACGAAAUAUUGCGAGUGUGGGACGGAAGCUGGUCUCCCGUGUGUUACCGCACGCGGUUGACCAAAAUCUGAGCUGAGGAUGCUUGGAGCGUCCCGACAUGCGGUGGUGAUCUAAAGCCUCUUCAUAUUGCCGGUCGCUCCUGUCCGUAAGCUCUCGUUGACCCAAUGUCCUCAAAGCGACCCCAGGUCAGGCGGGAUCACCCGCUGAGUUUAAGCAUAUCAAUAAGCGGAGGAAAAGAAACUAACAAGGAUUCCCUUAGUAACGGCGAGCGAACCGGGAAGAGCCCAGCUUGAAAAUCGGACGUCUUCGGCGUUCGA